This 316-nucleotide ribosomal RNA is filed under the name uncultured Chloroflexota bacterium. RNAcentral describes it as "bacterial SSU rRNA". It matches the Rfam family "Bacterial small subunit ribosomal RNA", at positions 28 to 351 of the family's 1533-position model. Lineage: Bacteria; Bacillati; Chloroflexota. The record is from RNAcentral.
GAUUAACGCUGGCGGCGUGCCUUAUGCAUGCAAGUCGAACGGUCUUGAUUUAUCAAGAUAGUGGCAAACGGGUGAGUAACGCGUAAGUAACCUACCCCUAAGUAAGGAAUAACUCUGAGAAAUUAGAGCUAAUACCUUAUGUGGUAGUGCCGGUAAGGCGGCACCACUAAAGCCUUCGGGUGCUUGGGGAUGGGCUUGCGUCCGAUUAGUUAGUUGGUGGGGUAAUGGCUUACCAAGGCAAUGAUCGGUAGCUGGUCUGAGAGGACGAGCAGCCACACUGGGACUGAGAUACGGCCCAGACUCCUACGGGAGGCUG